CAGCAGCCGCGGUAAUACGAAAGGUCCAAGCGUUACUCGGAAUUACUGGGCGUAAAGCGCGCGUAGGCGGUUUUGUAUGUCGAUUGUGAAAGCCCCGGGCUCAACCUGGGAACUGCAGUCGAAACUGCAAGACUUGAAUGUUGGAGAGGUUGGGGGAAUACCUAGUGGAGAAGUGAAAUUCGUAGAGAUUAGGUGGAACACCAGAGGCGAAGGCGCCUGACUGGCCAAACAUUGACGCUAGGGCGCGAAAGCGUGGGUAGCAAACAGGAUUAGAUACCCCCGUAGUCCCUGUCUCUUAUAC
Molecule: ribosomal RNA, 301 nt
Filed under: uncultured bacterium
Lineage: Bacteria
Description: partial 16S ribosomal RNA
Rfam family: Bacterial small subunit ribosomal RNA
Source: RNAcentral